GUCUCUCUGUUGUCCCGGCCCGCAGAAGCCCUGGUUCUACGACCUGCGGGAGGUGUGGAAGGGCUACCCCAUCCAGAGCAUGCUGCCCUCCCAGUACUGGUACUACAUGAUCGAGCUCUCCUUCUACUGGUCGCUGCUCUUCAGCAUCGCCUCCGACGUCAAGCGCAAGGACUUCAAGGAGCAAAUCAUCCACCACGUGGCCACCAUCAUCCUCAUCAGCUUCUCCUGGUUCGCCAACUACAUCCGCGCGGGGACG
RNAcentral lists this long non-coding RNA (256 nucleotides) under Columba livia (rock pigeon). RNAcentral describes it as "partial uncharacterized LOC102083890". Lineage: Eukaryota; Metazoa; Chordata; Aves; Columbiformes; Columbidae. The record is from RNAcentral.